Malus domestica (apple) is the source of this 2942-nucleotide non-coding RNA. The record is from RefSeq and is a predicted model, not a curated record. NCBI's taxonomy places the organism in Eukaryota, Viridiplantae, Streptophyta, Magnoliopsida, Rosales, Rosaceae.
CCAUGAUGGGUGACCCACUGGGAAGUUCUCGUGUGAGUUCCCAAAAACAAAACCGUAAGGGCGUGAUCGGGGUCCAAAUCGGACAAUAUCGUGCUACGAUGAAGUCGAGCCUGGGAUGUGGUAGGAGCCCGGGGCGGAAUGUGACAGUAAUAAGUCAAGUAUUCCAUUUGAAAGAGUAUAUACUGAUGUAUAGGGGCAUUCACCCACGUUGUCUGUUGAAGGUUACAAGUACUAUGUAAUCUUUGUUGAUGAAUGCACAAGGUUUUUUUGGAUUUUCCCUUUUGUGAAUGAAUGUAAUGUGUAUCAAGUGUUUCUUAAAUUUCAUGCUCUUUUUGUGAAUCAAUUUAAAACCACUAUUAAGUUUUUACAGUCUGAUGGGGGAUGAGAAUAUAUGAGUGGUUUAUUUCAAAAGUUUCUACAAUCACAUGGCAUUUUUACAUUUUCUAUCAUGUCCAUAUACACCAACAAAAUGGGUUAGCAAAACGAAAGAAUAAGCAUGUCAUAAAGACUGUUGUCACCUUAUUAAGUGCUACUUCUUUACCUCAUCAGUUUUGUUUUCAUGCUUGUAGUCAUGUUGUCUUCCUUAUAAAUAGAAUGCCCUGUCAUAAUUUGCAGAUGUCUUCUCCUUAUGCCAAAUUGUUUGGUCAAUCUCCAUCUUUAGCAAACCUUAAGGUUUUUGGUACAACAAUUUAUCCUUAUUUGAGACCUUAUAGUGCUAAUAAGUUGCAAGCAAUGAGUGAUCAAUGUGUUUUCUUGGGAUAUUCAAUUGGUUAUAAAGGUGUUUUGUGCUAUAAUAGAGUUACAAAGAGGUUAUUGUUGUCUAGGCAUGUAGUACAUGAUGAAGGUGUUUUUCCUUUCAAAGUAUCUUAUGAGAAUAAUCUUAGUUCUUCACUGCAUAAUUCCACUUCUCAGAGAAAGUCAUCUCCAAUAGUGCCUAUUAUUUUACCUGGAACUUCACAUGUGUCUAAAGAACAACUACAGGGUAAUAAUGUGGAUAGUUACAGUAUGGAAGUACCAUCCUUGUCUUCUCAAAGUUCAAAUGCAUCUACCAGUUCAGAAAAUGUUCCUUUAUAAGCUACUACUCACUUACUACUCUACUAUCAAGCUCUAUAUCCUCUCAGAUAUUGCCUAUCCAUGCAAGCCCUCCAACUUAGGUAUCUUUUCCAUCUGAAGAUCUCUCUCAUACUCUUGAUGUGUCUAGGGAUGUAUCAGUGCAUUUAGAGAAUGAUUCUAUGUUACAUAAUCUAGUCAUUUCAAGUACUAGGUCAAUUGUUUCUUCUGGACAUAAUAUGGUUACAAGGUUAAAAAGUGGAGCAAUUCAAAGACAAGAUUAUGUAGCUUAUCAUGCUCAUAUUUCUGAUACUCAAAUUAAAUUUCAGUUUCAUGUUGAUGAUGUUGUUUUUAGUGGUUUUACUGUUGUAUUUGAUAUUCAUGAACACUAUGAGCCUUCACACUAUAAACAAGCUAUUAUGUCUGAAAUUUGGAGAAAUGCUAUGACAAAGGAGUUUACUGCAUUACAAAAACAAGGUACUUGGGAAUUAGUACCUCCUCCAGAAAAUAGGAAUGUGAUUGGGAGUAAAUGAGUCUAUAAGAUAAAAAAGGACCAAGAAGGAAAAGUGUCUAAUGCAAAGCUAGACUAAUUGCCCAAGGCUACAGUCAAGAACAAGGCUUAGACUAUGAAGAAACCUUCAGUCCAGUAGUUAAACAUAUAACUGUCAGACUUGUUAUGUCACUUGUUGCAAUGUACAAAUGGGAAUUAAGGCAAUUGGACAUAAAAAAUGCAUUUUUACAUGGAGAAUUACAAGAAGAUGUCUUUAUGAAACAACCCCAAGGUUUUCAAGAUUCUAGGUAUCCUCAUCAUAUAUGUAAACUUCUCAAAUCUUUGUAUGGACUGAAGCAGGCUCCAAGAGCAUGGAAUAAGUUUACUAGCUAUCUUCCAACUUUGGAAUUUCAACCUUCAUAGUCAGAUCCAAGUUUAUUCGUCAAAGUCAUUGGCAGUGAUGUGGUCAUUCUCUUACUUUAUGUUGAUGAUAUCAUCAUCACUGGCUCUUGUUUCAAGUUAGUCCAGACAAUCAUUGAUGAUUUGGUUAGUGUGUUUGACAUGAAAGAUAUGAGAAAGUUGACUUAUUUCCUUGGUUUUCAAGUUACUUAUAGAGAGAAUGGGGAUAUAUUUCUCAAUCAGUCAAAGUAUGUAACUGAUCUUCUUAACAAGGCAUGAAUGGUGAAUUGCAGACCUUGUUCCACUCCCAGUAAACCACAUACUCAAGUAUUGAAAGAUGAAGGAGAUCCUCUUAAUGAUCUAACUAUGUAUAGGAGUUUGGUGGGAGCAUUGCAAUAUUUGACCUUUACUAGGCCAGAUAUUGCAAAUGUUGUUAACUAUGCAUGCCAAUUUGUGACAACUCCUACUGAAGCUCAUUUUUGUUUGGUGAAGAGAAUUCUAAGGAGAUCUACAACUGGAUAUAUCGUUUUUCUGGGUUCUAAUCCUAUCUCAUGGCAAUCAAAUAAGCAGGGAAGUGUUUCUCGCAGUUCAAUAGAGGCUGAAUAUAAAACUUUAGCAAAUGCAGCAGCUGAUAUUGCCUGGAUACGAUUGGUCUUAAGAGAUCUUCAUGUGUUUCUUCCUUCUGCACCAUUGCUGCAUUGUGAUAAUCUUUCCACAUUAGUUUUGUGUUCUAAUCCGGUCUUUCAUACCAUGAUUAAACACUUAGACAUGGAUUUUCAUUUUCUUAAGGAAAGAGUACAAAAGGAGAUUUGAAAGUUCAUUAUAUUCCCACAGAAGCUCUGGUUGCUGAUGUAUUGACUAAGGGGCUUCACAUUCCUUUAUAGUUGCUGAUGUAUUGACUAAGCUGGUGUAUAGCUAUAUAUAUAGUUGCUCAACUACUUGUAAAGAUAAGAUUUUGCAGAUCAGAAAAAUACAAGCGUGCAUGACAAGCUUUUCACUCUUA